ACUACAAAGACCUAUAAAAUAUCUUUUAUAUCACAUGAAGUAAUUUAUAAUUUAGGUCAACCACAAUUAUUAAUUUUACAUUUAUUCCUAAAGGAUAAUAUACUUGAGAGUGUAACCAUGAAAGCGUGUAUAACAUUUGUUAUCGAUAUUCAGUUGACAGCCACAUAAUUUGUAGUCGGUGCCACAAGUUGGCUUCGAGAUAGAAAGAAAAGAAUUAAUCGGUUCAUAUUGCUCGACAUUUAUAUGGCCUACAUAUUUCGGUACUGGUGCAGAAUCCGGGAUAGAAAUAAUGUUCUGACGCUGGAAAAACACAUUUCCCGGUGUGAAAACAAAAUAGCCAUCAACUGUAUCUUCAACGUGCAAUAUUGCAUGAAUGAGGCUUCUAUUUCCCCACCCAUCUUGUCAAUUCCUGUAUUGACAGCUACCACCGACCACGAGGGGUGGUGCUGAAAUGAUAUAAGAUACUUCUUGUGGGAAAAUUGCUCCAGUGCGAAUAUGUAUGCACGUAGUGUAAUUUUUUGACACACUAAUCAUUUCUCAGCUCAUAUAACGUGAUUGCACCUGAUUGGAGGCAGGCUCUGACCCUUAAGAAGACUAUUGAAGAUAAGAUUGCUAAAGAUGGUGUUAUUGGAAUAGGCAUCACGGCCACUGCCGUGGGACUUCUUGCUGGUGGGAUUGCUGCAGCAUUCGCUCGCAAGAACUGAGAACUCCCAAUCUUAACAAUGUAAACUGUGAGUCGCUUCCAGAUUUGGCUUCUUUUAAUAGUUUGAGUUUUCCCCCUGAAAGAAUGUAUCAAAAUGGCUAUAUAUUGAGAAAUAUAUUUGGACAAUUACCGAAUUUAAGACACCUUUUAUGUUAUGGAAGAAGGCCUUUUGAAUAUGAACUGUUUACCGAGUAUAUUACACACAAACUAAACUACCUUUCCAUGAA
Corylus avellana is the source of this 930-nucleotide non-coding RNA. NCBI's taxonomy places the organism in Eukaryota, Viridiplantae, Streptophyta, Magnoliopsida, Fagales, Betulaceae. The record is from RefSeq and is a predicted model, not a curated record.